This 1368-nucleotide ribosomal RNA is filed under the name uncultured bacterium. Its description in RNAcentral is "bacterial SSU rRNA". It matches the Rfam family "Bacterial small subunit ribosomal RNA". The record is from RNAcentral.
GAGUUUGAUCCUGGCUCAGGACGAACGCUGGCGGCGCGCCUAACACAUGCAAGUCGAACGAGCGAGAGAGAGCUUGCUUUCUCAAGCGAGUGGCGAACGGGUGAGUAACGCGUGAGGAGCCUGCCUCAAAGAGGGGGACAACAGUUGGAAACGACUGCUAAUACCGCAUAAGCCCACAGCUCGGCAUCGAGCAGAGGGAAAAGGAGCAAUCCGCUUUGAGAUGGCCUCGCGUCCGAUUAGCUAGUUGGUGAGGUAACGGCCCACCAAGGCAACGAUCGGUAGCCGGACUGAGAGGUUGAACGGCCACAUUGGGACUGAGACACGGCCCAGACUCCUACGGGAGGCAGCAGUGGGGAAUAUUGCACAAUGGGGGAAACCCUGAUGCAGCGACGCCGCGUGGAGGAAGAAGGUCUUCGGAUUGUAAACUCCUGUUGUUGAGGAAGAUAAUGACGGUACUCAACAAGGAAGUGACGGCUAACUACGUGCCAGCAGCCGCGGUAAAACGUAGGUCACAAGCGUUGUCCGGAAUUACUGGGUGUAAAGGGAGCGCAGGCGGGAAGACAAGUUGGAAGUGAAAUCUAUGGGCUCAACCCAUAAACUGCUUUCAAAACUGUUUUUCUUGAGUAGUGCAGAGGUAGGCGGAAUUCCCGGUGUAGCGGUGGAAUGCGUACAUAUCGGGAGGAACACCAGUGGCGAAGGCGGCCUACUGGGCACCAACUGACGCUGAGGCUCGAAAAGUGUGGGUAGCAAACAGGAUUAGAUACCUGGUAGUCCACACGGUAAACGAUGAUUAAUAGGUGUUGGAGGAUUGACCCCUUCAGUGCCGCAGUUAACACAAUAAGUAAUCCACCUGGGGAGUACGACCGCAAGGUUGAAACUCAAAGGAAUUGACGGGGGCCCGCACAAGCAGUGGAGUAUGUGGUUUAAUUCGACGCAACGCGAAGAACCUUACCAAGUGUUGACAUCCCUUGACGAACAUAGAAAUAUGUUUUCUCUUCGGAGCAAGGAGACAGGUGGUGCAUGGUUGUCGUCAGCUCGUGUCGUGAGAUGUUGGGUUAAGUCCCGCAACGAGCGCAACCCUUACUGUCAGUUACUACGCAAGAGGACUCUGGCAGGACUGCCGUUGACAAAACGGAGGAAGGUGGGGAUGACGUCAAAUCAUCAUGCCCUUUAUGACUUGGGCUACACACGUACUACAAUGGCGUUAAACAAAGAGAAGCAAGACCGCGAGGUGGAGCAAAACUCAGAGACAACGUCCCAGUUCGGACUGCAGGCUGCAACUCGCCUGCACGAAGUCGGAAUUGCUAGUAAUCGUGGAUCAGCAUGCCACGGUGAAUACGUUCCCGGGCCUUGUACACACCGCCCGUC